AAUAGCUGGGAUGACAGACAUGUGCCACCAUGACUGGCUAUAGUAUUAUUUUUAAGAUAAAAAAAUUAGGAGCAACUUCAAUACUAAUCAAAAGGUAAAACAAAAUAAAUUUUAGUAUAUUUACACAAUCAACCUUAGAUAGCCAUGGAAGUGAAAAAAUCUAGAAAUACAUAUGUAAAACUUUGAGUAAAUUUAAAAGGUAAUAAUGUUGAGCAAAAACAAAAUCAAGAUAAUAAGGAUAAUAAGUCAGAGGAGGGCUGGAGCUGGCUCACACCUAUUGGGGUUAUCUCUUUCCAGCUCCUGUUCCUUAACUUUAGGUGGUAGGUUGAAAGUGGCUAUGGUGAAAGUGUUUACACUAGGGAAAUCGGCAGACACUUGAACCCAAGUCUCCCCCACCCCAAGAGUCAUUUGUUAAAUACUUACCAGGAUAUCACUGGAUAGUAUGUUUAUGAAUAUUAAAGUAUUUAAAACAACACACCAUAUACGGACUAGCAUUUGGAAACAAUACAUACCAGAUAUAGAUAACUUCUUCAGAGGAAACAGAGGAAUGCAAUUAGGGAGGGAUACACAAGAGCUGCAAGUAAAUUUGAAAUGUUUUAUUUCUUAAGCAGGGCACACGUGUUAGUUAUUGUAUACUCUGUACUUCUUAUUUUCUGAAAUAUCUAGCAAGUCAGUGACAUACAGGAGCCAGUUCUCCACAGAGCACGUGGGUGAGGAAGGGCAGGAGCUAGACAUGGUGUCCGUCCUUGUGCCACCUGCUAUCUCUGCUAUCUCUGCAGCAAGGCUAGAUCUUUGCACUCAGAUUUGCCCACAGGGAGUUCCGGACGAAUUUGUGGUAUCUCUGGCGUUGCAUGCAGUGUCACAUUUAGUUCUGAGGUUCUUCAGAGACAGUAAUAAAACAGUGAAGAGGUGAGAGAAUCUGAGGGGGGUGCCUUCACGUGGGGAACAUGCUCCUUUCCAGAGGAUUCAGCUCUCUCUCACCUCUGUAGACUGCCCAGCAGGCAGCGGGUAUUUUUGGUUACAGGCAACAAACAGAGGAUAUACAGUACAGGUGUAUAUUUUUCACCAGCUUGGGUCAGAAAGAGAGCUCAGGUUCUUCUAGAAAGCGGUGAGUAGGGAAUGUUAAGGACAGACCCACAGUUACCACCAGUCAGGAAAUGUUGGCAGGGAGUGGCUUUGUUCCUAAGGAAAGAUCUAGCCCUUCUACUGGGGAUUCUGCCAUGUUUUCAUUCUGAGGUGAGGUGGUGUAAAUUACCCUGUGUCAUUUACAUAGCCCCUUCCUCUUGAGGCAAGUUCAUAUAGCAUUUAUGGACUGGUCUGGAUUGUGUAUCUCUACCUGAUCUCCCUUCACCCUUUCCUACUGAGAUACUUAUAGCAUGCUAAGCAUACCAGGCCUGUUCUGCACACACUGUUCUCUUAGCCUGGAACACUCCACCUUCCAACAGCCCUUCUAUGUGUUUAAGCUCUUUCUGUGGGAAAACUUUCCUCCCAGCCCUCUGCAGGAGCAGAGUUUCUCUGUCUUCUAGUACAUGCCUUCAUCUUUUCACACACAGCAUGUCCAGGACUGACCUCCUUCCAGAGAAGUAUCCUGUGUUACUGUCCCAGGCUCAGCACAACCUGGCAGAGAUGUUAAAUAGAUGUUUACUAACCAAGAAAGGAACGAGAGAGGAAAAGAGUGAACAAAAUAAAACAAGGCCUAACUCUUCACUUCUCAUGACAUCUUCUCCUUUAGUCACUCUUCCUCUGUCGAACUGUCUGCUAACAUCAUGCAGAGUUCAACUGUACACAGAGAAGCAAGGCAAGAACAGAGGCGAGGGUGCCAGAUAGGAAACAGACACUAGUCAAAAACACAAAAGGCACAAUUGCAUACUUUUGUGAAACUUCAUUUUACCCCAGUGUGGUUUGUGGGAGAUAAACCACCCAAUAUACAAAGGCUCAAGGUGCAUAGAAGACAAGGGUCAGGGGUGACAACAAAGCUCAUGGUCCCCGCUUCCCCCUCAGCUGUGAGCCUCUUCUGCUCCUUCUGUGUGUGUUGCCUGACUUGGUCUACAGUCUCCUGAAUCACUGUCAAUAGCCAACUAUUUCAUGUGUGUUAAGCCUUGAAUUCUGUUCUGAGUACAACUAUGGUAGGUUCCACUAAUUAAUUAAAUUGUACUUCAUAGACUUGGAGUCAGGUCUCUUGCAUACAAGAUGCAAAUUUAUGCAACAUAUGCAAAUCACUCAUGUUCUCAAAUUCCAUGAACAAAAUCUGGUAGCCUUGAGAUAAAAAAAACCCCUGCCAAGCAUCAUCUCUCCUAAUUAUUGCUUAAUUUCCCCCCCUUGAACAUUGAACUAACACUUUCAGGCUUGGCAGAAACUGGAAGAAACACAAUGAAAGCUGGUUAAUAAACAGGAAGUUCCUUAAGGGCAAAGACCCUGUAAGCUAUUUAUUUUAUGUUCUCCAGAAGCUCCUAAUAUACUAUGAGCACAGUCUUGCACAGGGUAUAUAUUAGUCUUGACGACUAAAUUAUGGACAGUUGAGAUGAACCAAAGUUGAAAGCCCUGCAAGCUUUGCAAAAUACUAUGGCAUUUAAGACUAGAAACAGGAAAAUUAUGUGCCGUGGCUAUUUCAUGGAAUUAUUUUAAAAAUUAAUUCAAAUUAAAUAAAAUUUUAAAAUUCAGUUCUCAGACUAGCCACAUUUCAAAUGUCUCACAGCUACAUGUGGCUGUCUUAUCACGCACCAAAGAUACCGAAUAUUUCCAUUGUUACGCAGAAUCUGUCAGGCAGCACCGAUCUAGACACUUGCUACACGAGCUCUGGUCCUGGGACAGCAGGACAGCAACAUGUGGAGCUUCCCGACAAUGCAGGAUCUCAGGCUGCAUUACAGACCACUGAGUCAGGAUCUAGAUCUUAACAAAAUCUUCACUUAAUUCACCUGCAUUUCAAUGUGAGAGGCACAAGGUGAACACUUAAUUCAGCUGCAUUUCAAUGUGACAGAGGGACAAGAGAAGAACUCAGCAAGAAUAUGGAGUCAGAGAUCAGAGCUACAUGGCUGCAGUCAAGGAACACCUAGGAAUGCCAGCCAGCCAACAGAAGCUAAAAUAAUUCUUAUCAAUAAAAUACUCAAAUACUGUUCCUUCAGGCUAGUAGAAGUCACCUCAUGAAAUCUGAAGAAAUUAGACUAAGUCUGCAUGCAUCAGUGCUCCAGUCUUAUGUGUUAAUGCUGCUUUUAAGACGCUAGACCUCCACGGAUUCUAGCACAAUACAGUUGAGGACACGUGGGCAUUUGAUGAGGAGGGACAGAUGUUCUAUCCAGAGGAGUUGCACAACUUAACCUGGCUGUAUUCACGGGAGAUAGGGAAAUGUUACUAGGAUUGGAUUCUGAGGAUACACCAUCAAGCAGGCUAGGAAUAUAUACUGGUGUAUCCCACAGAAACUGACCAUGACCCACCACAUCAAUAAUAUCCUGUUAACUGGGGCUAGUGAAUAAGAAGAGGUUGCUGCACUAGAGGACUUACUAAGGCAUGUUUGCUACAGGAGAUGAGAAAAAGAACCAGGAGUCUGACAUGGAGUCUGCAAAAGGGAACCAGAAUGGUCCUAUGACUACUGGGUCUGCUGGUCAUCUCACAUAUACCACUCAGAAGCCAGAAGCCUGAUCGAGCACUGACAUGGCCAACUGAAGACAGCUGAAUGAAUGCCAGCUUACAGGCAACAUUGUAGGAACAAGAGCUCCAUCCUCCACGAGGUACAUCAGAAUCCUGGAAGAAUGGCUCUCCAAACAUAUGCAAAGAAAUGUAGCUAAGGGACGUGAAGAGUGGGUUGUGGCGGCUGUGAACAUGAGUCAUGUAGAGCCUUUUCAAGAGAGGACUUGUUGUGCAUCUGUCAGAUCCUCCAGGGAGCUGCAGACAGCUGCUUUGCCCAAGGACACACCCUUUCCAGGUUGGUUUACAUCAGUGACUCUGGGAAUAUAAAGGCCCAGCCCAUUUGGAUUGCUAUACAGCAACUUUAACUCUUGUCUUAGUCAGGCUGGGCUGCUAUAACAAAUUACCAUAGAUUGGGUAAUUGACAAAUAACAGAAAAUUUUUUCUCACAGAUAGGGAGGCUAGAAGCCAGAUCAGGAUGCCAGUAUGAUCGGGAUCUGGUGAGAGCCCUGUUCUAGGUUUCAGAUUACUGAAUUUUCCCUGUAUCCUGACAUGGCAGAAGAGAAAGCAUGCUACCACUCUGGCCUCUUCUUACAAGGGUAUGAAUUCCAUUUAUGAGGACACACUGUCAUGACCUCUUAAAGAUCUCCCUGUAAAUAUGAAUUUUGGAUGGACACAAACAUUAAGUCUAUUACAAUUGUCCUUUUUUAUUCCAGAGCUCCAGUGGGAUUUGUCAAGAAUUUUCCAGGACAGUGCAAUAGUUCAACUUCCCCCUUUGCCCAAUCAUACUAUCUUGUCUUUAGUUCCACAGCCGGAUUCCUAACAAAUAUUCUUAACUGGACUCCAUCUUGGAGUCUGCCUUUGGAGAAUGCACUGUGGAACACCACUUCUAGCCUGUUUUAUGGGUGUGAGGAAGGCAUCUCCUAUGUGUACCAGUGUGGAGUACAGUAUCAAGCAGAUCAGGAAAAGGAAAGCAGGUAUGCAGAAGGAAGAGUAUGCAGAGUUAGAUUACUAACAUAGGAAAAUUAGUUAGGCAAAUAUUGAUAAGAUACUAAAGCCAGUUUCUUCACUGUUGGAGCAGGUAGUUAUGAACACAGAAAAGGAGAAAAUUAGAAUCAAUGUAAUCUUGGACUAGUGUUGGAGGCACUGAUGUUAAUUUUUGAUUUUAAAUAAAUGUAAAUAGAAAUUUAAAAAGCAGAUAAAGCUCUCUGUCUCUCUGUUUUUGUGUGAUGUGUGAUGUGUGUGUGUGUGUGUGUGUGUGUGUGUGUGUCUGUGUAGCUAGAUGUAUCCACUAAGAACCGGAAACAGUGACAUUUUAAUAGUAAGGAGCACAUUUAAUAUUCAGAUGUGGCUUUUAAAUGGCUUUUAAAUAUCAUUAUUCACUCAAAGAACCUAGGACUCAUUGAAGAAAUGGCUGAUUCUAGGGCCAGACAACGAAAGUAUAAGAUAGUCAUAAAACAUCUUGUUCUAGAAAUCAAGUGUUUGUUAAAAUUUGUCAAGCAUUAGAGAGUGUACUCUACUGACAAAUGAGCCUGCAAUUAUUUCUUUGCCCAUGGAAGAGAUGAAACUCCUGGAUAGAUAGGAAGGACUUUGUUAGUCAUGGCAAACAAGCCGCAGGAAUUCAUGUUUGUGUCAGUCCCCUCAGCUUCCAGCCCCAUGGUGCAUGGCAGAGGUUGACGCUGUACACGAGUGAGUCUGUACCACAGACAUUACUUUCUAGUGUAGAUAGAGAGCAAUUAUGAAUCAAGACCCAAAGGAUAGUGAGCUCAGCGGAAAAGUGGACACCACUGAGGAACUCAGUUCAGGGAAGCUGAACUUUUACAAUGGGUCACAGGCAAACUGCCUGACUGCUGGUCUAGAAGGAAUUACCAUGUCUACAUUUCAAAGGUCUUUGAUAUGCAAACGUCCUUAAGAAGAUGAUCUAGAACAAACAACUCUUCUUGUCUCUGCUUGUAAUAGGUGCAGAAACAUGAGAGACCCAUCGAAGGUUACCUCUUAGCUAUGCUCAAAGAUGUUGAAGACAUGUUGAAGGAAAAUAGAAGCCCUCUUACAGAGUGCUUGCUGGCAAAAUUAGGGAAAGUUUUAGCAUGAAUAUUAAGUAUGAAGGGUAGUAAUUCACUGCAUAAAAUAGAAAACUUUGUAUCUAUAUAUGUUUAAAGAUGUAUAUACAGGGAUAGCUGGGACAAAUGUACCCCUGAUGUCUAUUGGUUUAUUGAAAGGAACAGUUAAUGCUUAAAUUUUUUGGACCAAUUUUGCAUGUUU
This is an RNA transcript of Chinchilla lanigera (long-tailed chinchilla), 5883 nucleotides long. RefSeq lists it as uncharacterized. The transcript has 6 exons. Lineage: Eukaryota; Metazoa; Chordata; Mammalia; Rodentia; Chinchillidae. The record is from RefSeq and is a predicted model, not a curated record.